GGUUUUAUAGUGGAAGAAAGACGUUGGAUUGCAAAUCUGAAGAUAUGCAAAUAGCAUUAAAACCU
RNAcentral lists this transfer RNA (65 nucleotides) under Jaxea nocturna. Its description in RNAcentral is "tRNA-Cys". Lineage: Eukaryota; Metazoa; Arthropoda; Malacostraca; Decapoda; Laomediidae. The record is from RNAcentral.